GAUGAAGAACGUAGCGAAAUGCGAUACUUGGUGUGAAUUGCAGAAUCCCGUGAACCAUCGAGUCUUUGAACGCAAGUUGCGCCCGAAGCCACUAGGCCGAGGGCACGCCUGCCUGGGCGUCACACGCCGUUGCCCCCCCAUCUACUCCUUCGGGAUUGCGGGGGGGCGGAUGAUGGCCUCCCGUGCGCCUAGCCGCGCGGUUGGCAUAAAUACCAAGUCCUCGGCGACGCACGCCACGACAAUCGGUGGUUGCGAAACCUCGGUUGCCCGUCGUGUGCGUUCGUCGCGCAUCGAGGGCGCGAAAAAAUGCUCGGCUCCGGCUGGGCUUUCAACGCGACCCCAGGUCAGGCGGGGUUACCCGCUGAAUUUAAGCAUAUCAAUAAGCGGAGGA
This 391-nucleotide unclassified non-coding RNA is filed under the name soil metagenome. Its description in RNAcentral is "partial contains 5.8S ribosomal RNA, internal transcribed spacer 2, and large subunit ribosomal RNA". The stretch from base 1 to 122 matches the Rfam family "5.8S ribosomal RNA", at positions 35 to 154 of the family's 154-position model. The record is from RNAcentral.